This 253-nucleotide ribosomal RNA is filed under the name uncultured bacterium. RNAcentral describes it as "partial 16S ribosomal RNA". It matches the Rfam family "Bacterial small subunit ribosomal RNA", at positions 524 to 776 of the family's 1533-position model. The record is from RNAcentral.
UACGUAGGGGGCUAGCGUUGUCCGGAAUCAUUGGGCGUAAAGAGCGUGUAGGCGGCCCGGUAAGUCCGCUGUGAAAGUCGGGGGCUCAACCCUCGAAUGCCGGUGGAUACUGUCGGGCUAGAGUGCGGAAGAGGCGAGUGGAAUUCCUGGUGUAGCGGUGAAAUGCGCAGAUAUUGGGAAGAACACCUAUGGCGAAGGCAGCUCUCUGGGACGGUACUGACGCUGAGACGCGAAAGCGUGGGGAGCGAACAGG